Molecule: long non-coding RNA, 210 nt
Filed under: Gossypium barbadense (sea-island cotton)
Lineage: Eukaryota; Viridiplantae; Streptophyta; Magnoliopsida; Malvales; Malvaceae
Description: long non-coding RNA (GBAR_LNC005152)
Source: RNAcentral
GUGGAAGAUGAUUAUGAAACAUAUUUUCUUUCGUUUGUAAUUAAUAUUAACUUAAUAACCUAAUUACCAUUUUAACCUUUAUAAUAAACAUAUAAAAUCACUUAAUAUAAGGCUAUCUAUGUCAAAUUCUACUAUCAAUGGUUUAAUAACAUCAUAAAGACCUUCCAUUUAAUAAACAAUAGCAAUUAAGCACUUUAAACAAGUAGAAUG